CUUGUACAAAAAUAUGAUGG
RNAcentral lists this non-coding RNA (20 nucleotides) under Arabidopsis thaliana (thale cress). The record is from RNAcentral. Lineage: Eukaryota; Viridiplantae; Streptophyta; Magnoliopsida; Brassicales; Brassicaceae.